CAGCCAUGCCGCGUGUGUGAAGAAGGCCCUCGGGUUGUAAAGAGCGAGGAAGAACGCCUAGCGGUUAAUACCCGCUAGGAAAGACAUCACUCGCAGAAGAAGCACCGGCUAACUCCGUGCCAGCAGCCGCGGUAAUACGGAGGGUGCAAGCGUUAAUCGGAAUUACUGGGCGUAAAGCGCGCGUAGGUGGCUUGAUAAGCCGGUUGUGAAAGCCCCGGGCUCAACCUGGGAACGGCAUCCGGAACUGUCAAGCUAGAGUGCAGGAGAGGAAGGUAGAAUUCCCGGUGUAGCGGUGAAAUGCGUAGAGAUCGGGAGGAAUACCAGUGGCGAAGGCGGCCUUCUGGACUGACACUGACACUGAGGUGCGAAAGCGUGGGUAGCAAACAGGAUUAGAUACCCUGGUAGUCCACGCCGUAAACGAUGUCGACCAGCCUUGGGUGCCUAGCGCACUUUGUGGCGAAGUUAACGCGAUAAGUCGACCGCCUGGG
RNAcentral lists this ribosomal RNA (488 nucleotides) under Halomonas sp. 1S4 3. Its description in RNAcentral is "bacterial SSU rRNA". It matches the Rfam family "Bacterial small subunit ribosomal RNA", at positions 389 to 877 of the family's 1533-position model. Lineage: Bacteria; Pseudomonadati; Pseudomonadota; Gammaproteobacteria; Oceanospirillales; Halomonadaceae. The record is from RNAcentral.